GCUGGGAUGGCCGAGUCGUUAAGGCGAGUGAUUUGAACAAACACAGUUCAUUCUUGCAUGGAUUACGUAUUUGUCAAAUUAUCACUUGGUGUUUCACCGCGUAGGUUCAAAUCCUGCUCCCAGCG
Non-coding RNA from Desarmillaria ectypa, 125 nucleotides. The record is from the annotation of a GenBank genome assembly. Lineage: Eukaryota; Fungi; Basidiomycota; Agaricomycetes; Agaricales; Physalacriaceae.